This 373-nucleotide ribosomal RNA is filed under the name uncultured bacterium. RNAcentral describes it as "bacterial SSU rRNA". It matches the Rfam family "Bacterial small subunit ribosomal RNA", at positions 774 to 1137 of the family's 1533-position model. The record is from RNAcentral.
AGUCAAUAGAUACCCUGGUAGUCCACGCCGUAAACGAUGAGUACUAGGUGUAGGAGGUAUCGACUCCUUCUGUGCCGCAGUUAACACAAUAAGUACUCCGCCUGGGAAGUACGGUCGCAAGAUUAAAACUCAAAGGAAUUGACGGGGGCCCGGCACAAGCAGCGGAGCAUGUGGUUUAAGUUUACGAAGACAACGCGAAGAACCUUACCUAGACUUGUACAUCUCCUGAAUAAGUGUAGAGAUACAUGAAGCCCUUCGGGUCGAGGAAGACAGGUGGUGCAUGGUUGUCGUCAGCUCGUGUCGUGAGAUGUUGGGUUAAGUUCCCGCAACGAGCGCAACCCUUAUUACCUAGUUGCUACCACUUAAGUUAGUA